GGAAGGAUCAUUAUUGAUUUUAAAGGAUGUGCUGGCAUUUAUGCAUGUGCACUCUUAAACCAAUAUCCACCCUGUGCACACUUGUAGGCAUUCUUUUGCCUAUGUUUCUUCACAAACAACUAUUGAUGUAUUUGAAUGCUAUUUGAUAAAUUGUAAUACAACUUUCAACAAUGGAUCUCUUGGUUCUCGCAUCGAUGAAGAACGCAGCGAAUUGCGAUAUGUAAUGUGAAUUGCAGAAUUCAGUGAAUCAUCGAAUCUUUGAACGCACAUUGCACCCUCUGGUAUUCCGGAGGGUAUGCCUGUUUGAGUGUCAUUAAUAUCUCAACCCAGACAGGUUUCACAACCUGCUCUGUUGCUUGGAUGUUGAAGGCUUGCUGGCUUUUUUCAAGUCAGCUCCUUUUAAAUUCAUUAGCAGAAAUGAUAGGCAAAACUGGCUUCAGUUUGAUAAACUACUUUAUCUGUACUGCUGUCGCUAGUGAAAGAUACCUAACAUAUUUCAGCUUCCAAUUGUCCCAUGUGGGACUGUCUUCUUGAAGGCAUAACCAAUUUGACACUUGACCUCAAAUCAGGUAGGACUACCCGCUGAACUUAAGCAUAUCAAUAAGCGGAGGAAAAGAAACUAACAAGGAUUCCCCCAGUAACUGCGAGUGAAGAGGGAAGAGCUCAAAUUUAGAAUCUGGCAGUCUUGGCUGUCCGAGUUGUAAAUUAGAGAAGUGUUAUCCGCGCUGGCUGUGCAUAAGUCUCUUGGAAAAGGGCAUCAUAGAGGGUGACAAUCCCGUCUUUGGCACAGACUACCAGGGCUUUUGUGAUACGCUCUCGAUGAGUCGAGUUGUUUGGGAAUGCAGCUCUAAAUGGGUGGUAAAUUCCAUCUAAAGCUAAAUAUUGGCGAGAGACCGAUAGCGCACAAGUACCGUGAGGGAAAGAUGAAAAGAACUUUGAAAAGAGAGUUAAACAGUACGUGAAAUUGUUGAAAGGGAAACGCUUGAAGUCAGUCACAUCCUUCAGAAAUCAACCUGACCGUCAGGUCUGGUGUACUUUCUGUUUGGAUGGGUCAGCAUCAAUUUUGAUCAUUGGAUAAAGGCCUUGGGAAAGUGGCAUCUCUGGAUGUGUUAUAGCCCAUGGUUCAUACACAGUGGUUGGGAUUGAGGAACUCUGUGCUUUUUUGCACUACAGGAUGCUGGCAUAAUGGCUUUAAUCGACCCGUCUUGAAACACGGACCAAGGAGUCUAACAUACAUGCGAGUGUUUGAGUGGAAAACUCAAGCGCGCAAUGAAAGUGAAAGUUGAGAACCCUGUCGUGGGGUGCAUCGACGCCCGGACCUGACCUUUUGUGAUGGACCUGCGGUAGAGCAUGCAUGUUGGGACCCGAAAGAUGGUGAACUAUGCCUGAAUAGGGUGAAGCCAGAGGAAACUCUGGUGGAAGCUCGUAGCGAUUCUGACGUGCAAAUCGAUCGUCGAAUUUGGGUAUAGGGGCGAAAGACUAAUCGAACCAUCUAGUAGCUGGUUCCCGC
Molecule: unclassified non-coding RNA, 1510 nt
Filed under: uncultured fungus
Lineage: Eukaryota; Fungi
Description: sequence contains 18S rRNA gene, ITS1, 5.8S rRNA gene, ITS2, 28S rRNA gene
Rfam family: Eukaryotic large subunit ribosomal RNA (bases 556-1510)
Source: RNAcentral